Cervus elaphus (red deer) is the source of this 1516-nucleotide long non-coding RNA. RefSeq lists it as uncharacterized. NCBI's taxonomy places the organism in Eukaryota, Metazoa, Chordata, Mammalia, Artiodactyla, Cervidae. The record is from RefSeq and is a predicted model, not a curated record. The transcript is spliced from 3 exons.
UCUUCCUUCUAGUUUUGGAGCUUUUUGUUCAAAGGGGUGAUUUGUUUCACUCUGUUGCUGGAAGUUUUAGCAGAGAACCUGAUGCUCUGUGGUACCCAAGCUUUGGGAGAAUCUCCCUGACUGAUCUAUCUACAUGCUUCUGUGGGCAGGGAUGCUGGACUGUUUCUAUCUCAGGGAGUAGCGGGACCAAGACAGAACUAGGUGGCUGUCAUAAGGCAAAAGGUUUAAGGCAAAGGCUCAAAUCACCUGUGAAAAGAAAGAUUCUUGUCUAAAAUGAGAGAUCAUGCUGCACAAAGGGACUGCAGAACUCAGAGGGAACUUUUGACAAGCGCUUUGGCAUAAGACGCAUAUCUCCCCACUCCCUUCAGCCUUCCCGGAGGGGCUCCAACUUUCAAUCUCUUGUUCACCUUUGCCGUAGCCUCAGAAACUCACUCUGCUGUCUGAAGUCUAGCUCUGGGCUGGGAGAGAAGAGAGACUGGCAAUGUAUGUCCUCGCAUCUUUCCCUGGAACAGAGCUGAUGGAAGAGGUUAAAUGGUAAUGACAAUGUUUUAAAAUUUUUAAUAUUUUUCUUGCCCACAUCAUAUUAUAUUUUUUGUGUUUAAAUUACAUAUUAUGUUUCCUUGCCCAUAUUAUAUUUGUUUUCAAAGUCGAAUUGUGCUCAUAUAGUAGGUCUGUGGACAUUAAUAAGGGUAUAUAUCUUUAGGUUUUGGAAGAGCAAAAAAGAAAAAAAGUAGGACAGUAUGUUCAUACAAUAUACUAAGAAUUACUCUGUAUAAUACAAGGCUAAGUUCAAUGGUGGCUUCUAGCACCAGGCUCCUCUGUCCAUGGAAUUCUCCAGGCAAGAUUACUGGAAUGGAUAGCCAUUCCCUUCUCCGGGUGAUCUUCCUGACCCAGGGAUCAGACCCAGGGAUCAAUCCCAAGUCUCCUGCAUUGCAGGUGGAUUCUUUACCAUCUGAGCCACCAGGGAAGCCCAGAUAAGCAAAAGGACCCCUAUUUUUGCUCAUGGGGUCCUUCCACUAAAAACAAUCAUUUCAGAAGAUAUCCUUUCAACUCUGCCCAACUGAUAUUUGAAAUUUUCCAUGAAUCCCGUUCUCUGCCCUCUGGGUUAAAUCACUAAUCUUGCCUUCAUUCUUGGGGAUGAGACCCUAGAUCCUAGCUAGAUACCACUUUUACCAGAACUUUACACAACUACUUCCAGGGCAGGCCUUGACUUGCUUUCUUGGGCAUCAAAACUUUUAGCUAAACAAAGUAAUAUAUCUUUUAUAAUUUAUUUUUGUGUUAAACUAAAUCCAUUUCUUAUUUGUUUGCCCAGUGUCCAACAAAUUUCAAUAUUUGGGGAUCAGAGACUCACAGAGAUGGCUUUAUUGUAAUUUGCAUUUUUCCUAAUUUCUAAAAGAACUUGAGAAACAAUUUGAAGCAUUCUUAGAUUUCGUUGUAGUUUUCAAAACAUGCUUGUGAGGGAGUUAAAUGAGAAACAGGUGCUUAAAAUAAACUAUUGCUAUUUUUAUGAAUCAUG